AUGUUUAAUGCGGGUUUGAAAAGCCCCGAGCUCGGUGCGGCUGCAGCGGCUGCUGCCAGGCGCAAAUCCCAGGCUCCAGAUCUCCACGGGGAGGUCGGGGGGGGCCGGCAGCUGGCGCGGGGCCCCCCCCCCCCCCCCCCGGUCGGGGGGGGCCGGCAGCUGGCGCGGGGGUGUGGAGGAGGGAAAGCAGACGUGCUGGAUCCGGCUCUGCGGAGCUCCCGCUUCCAACAGGCUUCCUUGUCUUCCAGCUACGCGUGGGGCUCCCCCUCUGCCCCCCAUCCCCCCCGCUUCCAACAGGCUUCCUUGUCUUCCAUCUACACGUGGGGCUCCCCCUCUGCCCCCCAUCCCCAGGUGAAAGCGGGCUGUGCAGGACAAGCGGAUCUCCCCAGUCCAGCGUGUUCCGCCAGCCCUGCCUCAUCUAUGCACCCUCCAGGACUCAGUGACCUCGUGGCAAGCCUGGAUGGGUCCAUCCCUCAUUCCUCCUCAUGGAUCCUGGAUCGGGAUCUGCCUGGGAGCCGGGCACAGGACUUGAGGCUGAGCCGUGUGCCGGCUGUUGGGACCAGGGGGGCUCAUGGAGCGGGGCUGGGGUCAGGCAGGGAAUGGACACGCUGUGAGACCCCCAGGGCAAGGGGAAGCAGGGACAGGCCGGCAGAGCCUCGUUAUCUAUCCUGGGAAAGCCUGUUAUCCAGGUGGAACCUUGUUAUCCUGGCACAGCCCAUUGCUUUUUUGCACAGGAGCCUGUGGAGGCAGGGGAGAGAACGUGAGUGGGACCAUGCAGGGACACCCCGACAGCACCGGGCUGCUGGGGACCCUCUUUCUCUGACCCUGCUGGGGGGGCACCCCCAUGUGCCCCCUUCAAAACCCCUGCUCCCCUGGCACUCCCCCCCAAGGUUCCCCUGGCUCUCACUGCUGACCCAUCCCCCACAACUUGAGCAUUUUAACAAGCAAACACUAAUUACAUGGGAGGGGGCGUUUGCGCUGGGUCUGGUGCAUCAGGGGGCAUGUGGGGGGGCCCUGGGGGCCGGUGAUGUUUUGCCUUACACUCCCUGUCCGACGGGUGGUCCCACGGCGGGGGUCACACUAACGUAG
This 1089-nucleotide long non-coding RNA is filed under the name Ficedula albicollis (Collared flycatcher). Its description in RNAcentral is "lncRNA (ENSFALG00000023543.1)". Lineage: Eukaryota; Metazoa; Chordata; Aves; Passeriformes; Muscicapidae. The record is from RNAcentral.